CAGAACCUUAUGUUAACCCUCCUCGUCCUCCUCAUCAGAGCUCAGCACAGGCAUGACGGUGACUCCAGAGAAGUUACCGUCCGCACCUGAAGUUUUUACUGGAAUUAAUAAAAUAUGCAGACUGCGCAGACCAACUGUGUGGGGUGAUGGAGCACCUCUUCAACCUGAGCCUGAGGCUGGGGAGAGUCCCACAGCUCUGGAAAACCUCCUGUGUUGUACCAGUGCCAAAGACUUCACGCCCCAAGGACCUCAACAGCUACAGGCCGGUGGCUCUGACAUCCCACCUGAUGAAGACUCUGGAGCGGCUGGUCCUGGCUCAGCUUCGGCGCCUGGUGAGCUCAUCACUGGACCCACUUCAGUUUGCCUACCAGCCGUCAUUCACCUCGUGCAUCGUUCCCUCGCUCACCUGGAGACCGCUGGGAGCACUGUGAGAAUCAUGUUUUUUGAUUUCUCCAGUGCCUUCAACACCAUUCUUCCCACGGUCCUGAAGGACAAGCUGGAGAACUCUGGAGUGGACCAUCACCUCACUACCUGGAUUCUGGACUACCUCACCGACCGACCACAGUAUGUGAGGACUCAGGGCUGUGUGUCGGACAGGGUCGUCUGCAGUACGGGGGCCCCACAGGGAACGGUUCUGGCUCCGUUCCUCUUCACCAUCUACACUGCGGACUUCUCCCACAACUCCACUGUGCAAAUUCCCUGCUGACUCGGCCUCAGGAGGGCUAGAGGCAAGAAUCAAGCGCACCCAAAUGAGCGCAUCAUUGAUCAUGUGUGCAUCACGCAGAGGGAGAGUGGGAGUGAGAGACGAAAGGCGCAGCGACAGAGCAUGGCAGUUGUAACGCAGUUUGUGUGAUUCCGUGUGCGUUAAUGAAUCUACAACCAUGCUUAUAGUCACCUAUACUGCAUCUGCUAGUUAUAAGUUCAUAUCUGGCUGCAGCACAGUUGGAUUUAUCCUGGCAGCCUGCUGUAACCAGUUCUUCUGUGAAGCUUAAUUAAAGACAGUGAACUAAACUCCUGGACUGCUGCAGUCUUUCUGACCGAAGACUUAGGCCAGACUUGUAUACCCAGCACUUCCAGUAUAUAUAUAUUCUACAAGUGGUCCUUCGAGCCGGAUGUAUACAAGCUGCGCUAUGGCUACACCCAGAGAGUUUAACUACGACCAGCCUGCACUGAGUCCCCGUCCCAGCAGGGUGCGACGCAUUCCCGGACAUCUGGAGGACUUCGAACUCACCUACCCAGCUCACCGUCUUUAUAGUACCACAGUAAGACCAGCAUCACCACUGACAACAACUUACGCAGCACCACUCAGCCCUGGGAGUUCCCCUAACUACCCGGCAGCUGGUCAUUAUGGUACGGCAAGUCCAGAGGAAAGAUGGCAGCGGCUGGAAUCACGUUGGCAAACGAUAAGUCAGCAGAUGAAAGAACUUGAAGUGGAAAUGGACAGGGUCAGAUUGCCUUCGUAUCCACAGAGUGCACAUCUGCCUUACCCUUCAUACCACUAUGCAGCAUUUCAGCCACAUUACAGUAGCCUCCCCCAUUUAGAACUGGGUUACCCUGUACGGCCUCCCAGUCCAAGAGCUGCACCUAACAUUCAGCACCAGGUUCUGCACGCUCCAACACAAGCCCCUGCUCCUCAAGUGCAGGUUGACACUGCUGCAUCAAACCCACAGCCUGCUUCAGAAGCGAUGUCUGUACCAGCUCCCGCAUCCACGGCUCCUCCAGCCUGCUCGCCGCCGUUGGCAACGCAGCCGGUACCCCCUGCUCUAACACAGCCUGCAUUGCCCUUCGCACCACCUCCUGCUACUCUAAUGAUGGCUCCGCCAGUGUCCCUUAUCACACCGCCGCCAGAACCACAUGUGCCUCAGCCAGUGCCCUCUACCACACCGUUACAGCCUGAGCAUGUUCCACCAGAGCCGCAGUAUGAUGCACUUCCCAGGGCCUGGCAGUCUGUUCCACUGCCAUAUCCACCUGUGCAUUAUCCUAGAUCACCCCGUGGUCAGCACUGUUAUCCGACACCUCACCCAGUAGACAGUUCACAUCAGCCAAGUAUGAUGGAGAUGGCGAUUGCUUCAUCAUUUGGCAUUCCUAAACCUAAACUGACUGUAUUCAGCUCAGGGAAAGAGAGUGAUUUUCUUAUGCUCAAAAAGGGUCUGGACAGCUUACUUGGUCCACACAAGCAUUUAAGUGAAGACUAUAAGUAUCAGAUCCUGCUUGACCAUCUCACAUUCCCAUCUGCACUUCAAGUGGCAAAGAGGUAUGUCAACAGUCAGACCCCAUACACAAGUGCCAUGCAAGCGCUCACACAGAGGUACGGACAGCCAAGGCAGCUAGUGCAGGGGGAACUGAAGGCCAUUCUGAAUGCCCCACCAGUCAGGGCCGGAGAUUAUCAAGCAUUUGAGGACUUUGCUACCGCAGUUGGAACUCUAGUGGGGAUGCUCAGUACAAUGGAGGGCCCCUCAUCGUCAGAGUUGAAGUGUGGGUCUCAUGUGGACACCCUACUCACCAAACUCCCCACUAACUAUCGAGAUGCAUUUGCUGAACAUUGCUUUAACCGAGGAAUUAUCCAAAGUGGCAGUGAUCGUACAUACACUCUCCCUGAUCUGGCUGAGUGGCUGGAAAGGAAGGCCCAGACGCUGCAAGUGUCUCGCCAAAUCACAAGCCCCUUCCCAGCUAUACCAGCACCGACUGAGUACAAGGACCGGAAAGCAGUGAGACAACAGAGGGUCAAACCUGCUACUAUUCUGCUUGGGAGUCAGCAGGGAUCGAAGCCCGCUAAUCCUUCUCCGAGCCCUGCCACUGUACCACCCCUGAAGAAGAGAGAUCGUUUCAAGCCCUUCUGUCCUUAUUGUAAUAACCAGGAGCACUACCUCAAUGCCUGUGCUGACUUUGCCACGCUCACCUGUACUGCCAGAGCUGCCUGGAUAAAAGAGAAAAAACGAUGUUGGAAAUGUGGGAGAGGACAUUCCCCAGAAAACUGCACUCUGAAGAAGCCCUGUGCAACAUGUGGAGAACAACAUCUGCUCAUACUACAUGAUGUUGCUGCUGCAGAGAGCGUCCUGACCGUGAAUACGUCCUCCAGCAUGGUUUUCUUGGACCAAGUCAGCCAUUCAGGGCGGGUAAUGCUAAAGGUUGUCCCAGUGCGGUUGCAAAAUGGGGAGAAAACACUGGACACAUAUGCUGUCCUGGAUGAUGGCUCCGAAAGAACAAUCAUACUACCUGCUGCCGUCCAUCACCUUGGCCUUGUGGGAACAGAAGAGAUUCUGUCCCUCAGGACAAUUCGACAAGAAAUCGUACAGCUGAAGGGAGCCACUGUAUCCUUUCAGGUGUCAGGUAUGACAAACCGAAGAGUGAAAUAUGACAUUCACCAGGCUUUUACAGCAGCCGAAGUAACUCUGGCAGAGCAAUCACGUGCUGCUGACCUCCUGACACAACGAUACAAACACUUGAGAGGCUUAUCCCUGCAGUCCUUUGACAAAGUCCAGCCCCUGCUACUUAUCGGUUCUGAUAACCCUCACCUGAUAAUACCUACCCAGCCUGUGCGUACCGGUCCAGUUGGUGGCCCAGUGGCUGUGUGCACAAUGCUGGGGUGGGCGAUUCAGGGACCAGCAAGCUUUUUGCAGCAACCAACAGAUGAGAGAAGCUGUCUGCAUUUGUCCACUCUCUCCUCCUCAGAUGAGCUGCAUCAACAUGUCCAGAGACUCUGGCAGCUGGACACCCUACCCUUCCACACCAACAAGGAGGUGACGCGAUCAGGCGAAGAUAAAGCAGCCAUAGAACGACUGGAGCAAGGGACUGUCCGGGUCACCGUUGAUGGAGUGGUUCGCUAUGCUACUCCACUGUUGCGAAGACAGAAUGCACCUGUUCUUCGGGCACCUCCCACAGCAGUGAUGGCACUCCUCAGAGCGACAGAGCGACGUUUGUGUAACAAUCCAGAUCAAGCUGCUGUCUACAAUGAGGAAAUUCACAAGUUGGAGAAAGCUGGUUAUGUAGUGAAGAUCAGCAUGAAUGAGGCCAGCAGCUCUGCAGAAUCAUGGUUUAUCCCGCACCACAUUGUGUACCACAACAACAAGCCCAGAAUCGUCUUCAACUGCUCCUUUAACUACAGGCAAGCUUCUCUUAACAAGAACCUGCUUCCUGGCCCAGUUCUCGGGUCAACACUGCUUGGCGUGCUCUUGAGAUUUAGAGAGUACGCUGUCGCUAUCAGUGGAGAUAUUCGCGGCAUGUUCCAUCAGGUGCGCCUUCUGCCUGAGGACCAGCCACUUCUACGCUUCUUAUGGCGAGAUGGGGAGAGGGAGCGCAGCCCAGACGUGUACGAGUGGCGUGUCCUUCCUUUCGGGACCACAUGUAGCCCAUGCUGUGCUACAUAUGCCCUGCAACGCCAUGUAAAGGAUCACAGCGAAGACAAUGAAGAGGCACUGUAUUCUGUGCUCCAUGCAUUCUAUGUGGAUAACUGCUUACAGUCUCUACAAUCUCAGACUCAGGCAAAGGACCUGAUAGACAAGAUGAGAGCCCUCCUUGCCAGUGGAGGAUUUGAGAUAAGGCAGUGGGCUAGCAACACACCUGAGGUCAUUUCUCACCUACCAACAGAAGCCAAAUCAACCGAGUGUGAGUUAUGGCUAACCACUAACAAGACUGAACCACAAGAGUCUUCACUUGGUCUCCUGUGGCGCUGCAGCUCUGACACAUUGGGAUACAAGCACCGGGCCAUUCCACGUACUGCACCAACCCUGAGAUAUGUUUACAGAGUACUGGCCAGCCAAUAUGACCCAUUAGGUUAUAUCAUUCCCUUUACAACGCGAGCCAAGGUUCUGGUUCAGGCACUCUGGAAGAAAGAGAGGGGUUGGGAUGAGCCGAUUGCUGAUGAGCUCCUGUCCGUAUGGUUGGCAUGGGAAAGUGAGCUGCCAUACUUGCCAAACCUCAGCUUGCCAAGGUGUUACACUCCUGGUAUCUCAGCUGGGAGCCCCGUGAACCUACACAUCUUCUGUGAUGCCUCAGAGAGAGCCUAUGGUGCGGUUGCAUACCUGAGAGUAGAGACUGACAGCAAUGAAGUUAAAGUGGCAUUUGUGAUGGCCCGAUCUCGUGUGGCACCCAAAAGGCAGCUUUCAAUACCUCGCCUGGAGCUUUGCGCUGCCCUAGCAGGAGCACAGUUAGCCAAAGUUCUGCAGACCGAGUUAACCCUGCCAUUACAGACGACUACUCUGUGGACCGAUUCGACCACUGUCCUUCACUGGAUCCAGUCUGAAUCCCAGCAGUAUAAAGUGUUUGUGGGAACCCGAAUAGCAGAGAUUCAAGAGCUUGUUGGAGCUGAGAGCUGGAGAUAUGUUCCCUCUGAAGAGAACCCUGCCGAUGACAUCACACGUGGGAAAUCCUUAAGGGAUUUAACUAAGCCAACCCGCUGGACAGAUGGCCCAGCAUUUCUCCAUCAGCCUCCCGCUAGCUGGCCUACGCACCCCACAGUGAGCUCGAUGCAGGAGGAAGAGAUCCGCGACAUCAUCUUCUGUGGCAACAUUUCCACAAGCAGCCCGCUGACACCUGAUCUGAACCAGUUCAAAUCCUGGACUGAGCUGAUACAUGCCACGUAUCACGCCCUCCACGGGGCGGCCGCUCCACCCAUGACUGCCUCCAGUCGUAGGGAGGCAGAAAUUGCCCUACUGAAAAGGUCACAAAGUGAGAGUUUCCCGGCGGAGCUUGCUGCAUUGCAGUCGGGUAAAACUAUCAGCCCUAACAGUCGCUUGCUGUCGCUUUCACCUGAAUUAGACCAUACUGUAGGGUUGAUCAGGGUUGGAGGUCGGCUCCGGAGGGCUGAAAAUCUGAAAGAGGACACCAUCCAUCCUAUAGUUCUUGCACCAGAUCACCCUGUCACAAAGCUGUUAGUGCAGGACUAUGAUAACCGUCUGUUACAUGCAGGUCCUGACCGUAUAUUUGCAGAGAUGAGGAGGACCUACUGGAUACUUCGCGGCCGACAGAUCAUCAAGAGACAUCAACGCAGCUGUGUGGAAUGUUGUAAAUGGCGCAGCAAACCAGUCACUCCCCAGAUGGCAGACCUACCAGCUGCACGAUUACGCGUCACUAAACCACCAUACUGGUCCACUGGAGUCGACUGCUUUGGUCCUUACACCAUAAAAAUCGGACGGCGGCAUGAGAAAAGGUGGGGUAUUAUCUUUAAAUGUCUGACCACCAGGUGCGUACAUCUGGACCUCUUGUGCAGCAUGAACACAGAUUCAUUCUUGCUUGCCCUUCGGCGCUUUGUGGCAAGGAGAGGAAAACCCUUUGAGAUUCUCUGUGAUCGUGGCACCAACUUCAGAGGAGGAGAGAGGGAACUUAGAGAAGAUUUUGCUGCCAUGGAACCAGUUUUGAAGCAACAGCUCGCUGAACAGAGCAUUAAUUUCAAAUUCAAUCCACCACUUGCUCCACAUUUUGGAGGCACAUGGGAGAGGGAAAUCAAGUCGGUCAAAGCUUCCCUGCGUGUCGUCCUGAAAGACCAAGCUGUCCAAGAAGAAGUGCUGAUGACUAUGCUUGUAGAAGUGGAGGGCAUUCUUAACUCGAAACCCCUCGGUUAUGCAACAUCAGACAUUGCGGACCCUGAUCCCAUUACUCCUAACCUUCUGCUUAUGGGGCGGAGAGACGCAUCCCUACCACAAGCAGUGUACAGCAAGAGUGACCGACUGGGACACCGGCGCUGGAGACACAGCCAAGUGCUUGCUGACCAUUUCUGGGUUCAGUUUACUCGCAAUUACCUACCUAACCUUCAGCUCCGUCAAAAGUGGCGCAUCAGUACCCCCGAUCUCACAGUAGAUCGAGUGGUCAUGGUGAUUGACCCACAGCUACCAAGGGCUCUGUGGCCAGUUGGGCGGGUAACUAAAGUAAUCCCCAGCGACGAUGGUAAGAUAUGGACAGCUGAGGUCGACAUAAAAGGAGUUAAAUACAUCCGCCCCGUGACUAAGCUCAUCACUCUUCCAAAACUGCCAGAGGACUGAAGGGGUGUAUAUUAUCCAGCAGGGACAUUUGUGUUCUGCAAAUUCACUUAGUGAAUUUGGGGGCGGCUGUGCAAAUUCCCUGCUGACUCGGCCUCAGGAGGGCUAGAGGCAAGAAUCAAGCGCACCCAAAUGAGCGCAUCAUUGAUCAUGUGUGCAUCACGCAGAGGGAGAGUGGGAGUGAGAGACGAAAGGCGCAGCGACAGAGCAUGGCAGUUGUAACGCAGUUUGUGUGAUUCCGUGUGCGUUAAUGAAUCUGCCCUAAUGGGAGGAAGACGAAGGCCACUCUUGAGUCUCUCACCUCCCACUACCCACCGAGAUGCCCGCAUGACCAACUCCAUUGCCAUGAUAAAUGCCAGAGGGGAAAUCGUGCAGCCUGCCAUAACUCCAAUUCCCAGGUGCUGCCAGGCUGUGGUGGUGUUCUCAGCUGUCACACAAAACUACAUUCUUAAAGUAGGUCUUGACCAGUCCUGUGAUGUGGUUUGGUACACUGAAAUAGUUGAAGGCCAUCCACAAGAUUUCGUGCGGAACUGACCCAAAGGCGUUGGCAAGGUCUAAUAAGACCACAUGAAGGUCUCUUUGUUCACCAGUUUGAAUCUGGUGCCAGAUGACGCUGGCAUGCUCCAGGAAUCCUGAGAAGCCCCGGAUCACUGAUGUGUCAAUAUAGUUGUUUCUUUGCAGGAAAGCAGAUAGCCUUUGGGCCAAGACACUGAAGAAGAUCUUUCCCUCUAUGUUCAGCAGGCUGAUCUGGCGAAACUGGCUGAUGGAUGAGGAGUUCUUCUCCUUAGGGAUCAGAAUACCUCCUGCUCUUCGCCAGGCCUUUGGAAUCACUCCUUUCUGCCACGCUACCUUCAUCAGCUUCCACAGUUGACAAGGUGACAACAAUCACGUUGAAAAACCAUCGAUUUAUGGUUGAGCGGGAAAUUAAAGCUGCUACCACUUGGACUAUUCCAUAGCACCCCUAUCACAGUGGUACAUCCCAUCAGGCAGCGGGAAAUUCCAUUUAAGCUCAGCAGAGUUGACCGGACAUUUUGUCAGAACACCGGAGACGACAGUUUCUGCACGGCACUCUCGGCUGCAUCAGUUUUUAACCAUUUUUAACCAGUUACAGACUCUGAUGAUGAGCAACCUCCAAAAUAAAAGGUUUCCCCAGGACCCAUGUGUGAAAGUACCAGGCUCCACCACUCUGCAGUCUGCCCCCCAACCCACUACUAGCAACCAUCAUGAUGCCCCGGCCAUCUACCGGCUCCUUUCGCCAACCUACACAGCUCUGCAACCUCCCCAGCAAAUAGUCUGCGUAUCAGUGCCUUCUCUAACAACGAUUCCAGAGAGUCUGAGACGCAGCCUUCCAAAAACUUAUAAUCAUGAUAACAGGGCUGAUCAGAGAAGUCGGGGACCUCCGUGAGGAGUUCAGAGCCUUCCGUUAAUCCUGCAGCACUGACCCUGUUCAUGCUGGGGUAUUGCCUCUGGAUUAGCCAUUUAACAACAUAGAUGAGAUGAACUGCAAUGACCGGAGGCAAAUAAAGCAAUGAUGGCCUGACUCAGCGGGUGGGGGUAAACGCUGUUUCUGAGUUUGCCCUCGCCCAAGCAGUGCAGAAAUGUCUCUGCUACCCUUCAGAAAACAGGGAUGGUGCAGGAUGCCGAUAUCCAGCUUGAUCCCCGAGUAAACUAAAAAAAAAAAGUGACCUGUAACCAAUACAUGUAACAAAGAAACUUUUUUUUUUCAAACAUUCAACGACAUGAAUGCUUCAAAAGCGUCAACAUUAGCUCCUCUCUGACAGCAUGGUGGGAGUUUCUGAAGUUGACAGAGUCUUCAUUAAUCCCAUGCAAACG
RNA transcript from Pelmatolapia mariae (spotted tilapia), 8807 nucleotides. RefSeq lists it as uncharacterized. The record is from RefSeq and is a predicted model, not a curated record. Lineage: Eukaryota; Metazoa; Chordata; Actinopteri; Cichliformes; Cichlidae. The transcript is spliced from 10 exons.